AAAACAUGUCUUUUUGAAAAUAAUAUAAAGUCUAAUCUGCCCACUGAUUUAAAAUUGAAGGGCUGCAGUAUAUUGACUGUACAAAGGUAGCAUAAUCAUUAGUCAUUUAAUUGAUGACUUGUAUGAAAGAUUGAAUGAGAUAUAUACUGUCUCUAAUUUAAUUAUAAAAUUUAAUUUUUUUAUUAAAAAGUUAAGAUAUAUUAAAAAGACGAGAAGACCCUAUAGAGUUUAAUUGAUUAUUAAUUUGAUUUUAUUUUGAAAAAUAAUAAUGAAAUUUAAUAGUUUAUUUUAUUGGGGUGAUAAAAAAAUAAAUAAAACUUUUUUUAAUAAAAAACAUUUAUAAGUGGAUAAAUGAUCCAAUAAUAUUGAUUAUAAGAAAAAAUUACCUUAGGGAUAACAGCGUAAUUUUUUUUUUUAGUUCAAAUAAGAAAAAAAGUUUGCGACCUCGAUGUUGGAUUAAGAUAAAAUUUAAAUGUAGAAGUUUAAAAUUUUGAUCUGUUCGAUCAUUAAAAUCUUACAUGAUCU
RNAcentral lists this ribosomal RNA (525 nucleotides) under Acrapex kiakouama. RNAcentral describes it as "partial 16S ribosomal RNA". The stretch from base 393 to 525 matches the Rfam family "Bacterial large subunit ribosomal RNA", at positions 2473 to 2606 of the family's 2925-position model. The record is from RNAcentral. Lineage: Eukaryota; Metazoa; Arthropoda; Insecta; Lepidoptera; Noctuidae.